This is a non-coding RNA of Schistocerca serialis cubense, 72 nucleotides long. The record is from the annotation of a RefSeq genome assembly. NCBI's taxonomy places the organism in Eukaryota, Metazoa, Arthropoda, Insecta, Orthoptera, Acrididae.
GCCAAGGUGACUUAGUGGUUAAUGCACCUGCCUAGUAAGCAGGAGGCCUGGGUUCAAUUCCCGGCCUUGGCA